GACGAACGCUGGCGGCGUGCUUAGCACAUGCAAGUCGAACGAAGAGCGACGGAAGCUUGCUUCUAUCAAUCUUAGUGGCGAACGGGUGAGUAACGCGUAAUCAACCUGCCCUUCAGAGGGGGACAACAGUUGGAAACGACUGCUAAUACCGCAUACGAUCUAACCUCGGCAUCGAGGAUAGAUGAAAGGUGGCCUCUACAUGUAAGCUAUCACUGAAGGAGGGGAUUGCGUCUGAUUAGCUAGUUGGAGGGGUAACGGCCCACCAAGGCGAUGAUCAGUAGCCGGUCUGAGAGGAUGACCGGCCACAUUGGGACUGAGACACGGCCCAGACUCCUACGGGAGGCAGCAGUGGGGAAUCUUCCGCAAUGGACGAAAGUCUGACGGAGCAACGCCGCGUGAGUGAUGACGGCCUUCGGGUUGUAAAGCUCUGUUAAUCGGGACGAAAGGCCUUCUUGCGAAUAGUGAGAAGGAUUGACGGUACCGGAAUAGAAAGCCACGGCUAACUACGU
Molecule: ribosomal RNA, 509 nt
Filed under: uncultured bacterium
Lineage: Bacteria
Description: partial 16S ribosomal RNA
Rfam family: Bacterial small subunit ribosomal RNA
Source: RNAcentral